UGGUUUGCCUGCCGCAGUGCCCACUGGGACUAGUUUUAAUGGCCUCUGUGCCUUUUGCCUAGAAUUAUCUCUCGAGUUUCAUUUGAACAAGCCUGAUACACAUAUGCACAUUCCUUCCAGAUCAAUGUUCUACUCGGUGUGAUGUUUGCUUGUUCCCUGGGUCGAUCCAUUAGGCAUCAAAAAACAGAACGUGAACGUCGACGAUGGGAGAUGAGAGAGAAUCUGCUUAGAAAAGAUACAUUCUACACUGACCGGAAGCAUUCAACAUCUGCAUAAUGAAGUAAUAAAAAUGCUAAAUCAUGAAGUAUAUUGAUAGUAUAUCAGGAUAUCCUAUAUCAAUCACCAUAAAUAAUAUAGCAUUCAUUUUAAAACAAUGUUAAGAAUGGAACACGACAUAAUUUAAUAUUAUUAGUAAUGCAGUGUCAACUUAUAAGUGGUUCCUACAUCCAUAAAACGUUUCCUUAAAAAAUCAGAACCCCCGUCAAAAAAUUAUAGUAUGUUUUCUACAAAUGAUUCCUUUAUAUGAUUCUUAUAUGCAAAAUCGGCAAUCACUGGUAAAUUAAAAUCUACAGGCCUUUAUGGUCCUUUUAGGUAACCAGAGAUGAUGUCUGUAUAUAUUCCACUUCCUUAAUGGUUGGAAAGUGCUUACAUAAUAGACAAAUUAUUCUUGUGCAUCCUGUGAGAUACAAAUUUAAUCUGUGAAGACACUUUAAAAACUAAGAAAUGAAGCACGAAGCCUUAGGGAACACUACUAAGCAAAUCAGUGAGCAUUCAAAUGCAAAGGAAACUGUAUGGGAAACAUUAAAUAACUAUUUUAAGAUGCCCAUUAAACAGAGUAAUGUAGGUUCUUAAAAUAAAUUACAAACUACUACCCAACAGAAAGAACACUACUUCGACUGCCACUUAAUAGGCUAAACUUCUGAAAAUAACACAAGUCACAUAAAACAGCCUAUCUUUGUGACAAAUUUCAGAUGGACAUUUCUUAUCAUCGACAAGAUCCCUUUCAGAUACUGAAUAAACAGCCAAUGGAGAAGGAAUAAGGUGAAAAAAUCAAACAUGACCUGCAUACUAAAGUGCAAUGAGUUUCCUGUGAGUAUGCACUAAGGUGGAAGAGUCAAAUGCUGUUCCAUAACACUGAAGUUCAGUUCAUAGCUGUGCUAUCUACAAAACUCACUGCACUUGUCUACCCAAGUCUUCUGUAUAAUUUCUAUGAAAUCUAGCCUCAUACACAUAAGGCAUGCAAGACACAACUUGCCAAUCAUAAUUGAUGAAAUGACGAAGACAACCUCUAUGUCAGAUUAAAUUGUGGAUACCUCUUUGGCCUUUUAUUAUGCACAAGAGUCAAAUUUGUUAGUAGGUCAGAAUGUUUUAUACCAGGUGUGACCUCAUUGCCAGCCUGCCUGCCUUCCCAUGGUGAAAAAACUAAUUUCAAAAACAAGAAACUACAAACAUAUUCACAAAUGCAAAGGUAUUGAGAAUUUUAUGGCAAAGGAGCAGUGCCAACAUUUUCCUUCUUGUCUUUAUAGUAAUGCAAAUGUAUCUUGUUAAAUAAAAACUUUGCAUAAAAAUGUAUUCAAUUAAAUAUAUUGUUAACACUGA
Molecule: non-coding RNA, 1599 nt
Organism: Zootermopsis nevadensis
Lineage: Eukaryota; Metazoa; Arthropoda; Insecta; Blattodea; Termopsidae
Source: RefSeq, a predicted model, not a curated record